AGUGAACGCUGGCGGUAGGCCUAACACAUGCAAGUCGAACGGCAGCACAGUAAGAGCUUGCUCUUACGGGUGGCGAGUGGCGGACGGGUGAGGAAUACAUCGGAAUCUACUUUUUCGUGGGGGAUAGCGUAGGGAAACUUACGCUAAUACCGCAUACGACCUACGGGUGAAAGCAGGGGAUCUUCGGACCUUGCGCGAUUGAAUGAGCCGAUGUCGGAUUAGCUAGUUGGCGGGGUAAAGGCCCACCAAGGCGACGAUCCGUAGCUGGUCUGAGAGGAUGAUCAGCCACACUGGAACUGGGACACGGUCCAGACUCCUACGGGAGGCAGCAGUGGGGAAUAUUGGACAAUGGGCGCAAGCCUGAUCCAGCCAUACCGCGUGGGUGAAGAAGGCCUUCGGGUUGUAAAGCCCUUUUGUUGGGAAAGAAAAGCAGCAGGUUAAUACCCCGCUGUUCUGACGGUACCCAAAGAAUAAGCACCGGCUAACUUCGUG
This 492-nucleotide ribosomal RNA is filed under the name uncultured bacterium. RNAcentral's name for it is "partial 16S ribosomal RNA". It matches the Rfam family "Bacterial small subunit ribosomal RNA", at positions 29 to 507 of the family's 1533-position model. The record is from RNAcentral.